Syngnathus acus (greater pipefish) is the source of this 774-nucleotide long non-coding RNA. RefSeq lists it as uncharacterized. Lineage: Eukaryota; Metazoa; Chordata; Actinopteri; Syngnathiformes; Syngnathidae. The transcript has 4 exons. The record is from RefSeq and is a predicted model, not a curated record.
UUGUCUCCUUUUGGCUAGGCCAAAAUACUCCCAGACUGAUCUCAAGACUGAAGUCUUGUAUUUCAGCAUCUGAGACAGCGUAGUCUGCAUGCAGCAGUUCUCCAAUAAGAAUGCCUUCCAUUUUUGUUUUUCAACAGAGUCUUGAAAGAUUAAAUAAGUUGCCUGUGCUGCGGCUGUGCAACAGAAUGCCCGAGGCAUCAGGGAAGGCAUGGCGCAGAAGAGCGAAGUAGAAUACUCCAAAAUCUUUAUACACGAGAACACGUUGAUUUUUCCCCACAAAGGAGUACCGGCCCACUCGAAGGCACGUAAAGGCUAGGCACAUACCAUACUAGCUCGGAAGACGCCAGCAACUCACGCUUCUUCGCCUUCGCAAGACUACGCCUGCCUCAAGCUUUCACGACCAAAUGGAGCAAUGAAUAUUCCUUUGGAAGCACAAUUUCUACCGUGGACGGGAGCUGGCACAUUAUCUGCUGGAUCAGCUAAACAACAUCAUUCGUUAAGAGUGGCAAUACCACAUCGUGAACCUGCUGUUGCCACACCCGCACGCUUUCAAUCCCCGGCCGAGUCCAGCGGACAGGCACAGGAUUGUUGAAGGUCAGGUGUCAGUGGGGAAAUGGACUUCUUGUCAGCUCCGAUUGCGUCUCCCUCCGCGCUACCCUUUCUCUGUCUCAUCUGGGGUAAGAAGCUCAAAUGUCACCAGCAAGCUAUCAUUAUGGUAACUGUGGCCUUUUCAAGUCACAUCCUCGUUCCGCUCACCUGAGCACUGGCAACUCU